Molecule: long non-coding RNA, 4292 nt
Filed under: Homo sapiens (human)
Lineage: Eukaryota; Metazoa; Chordata; Mammalia; Primates; Hominidae
Description: HSALNT0401995
Source: RNAcentral
CUUUAACGUUUGGCUUUCCUGCAUUCUUGAGCGGGGUUUCCCGGAGUUCACCCAUCUAUAAUUUGAAUGGUUCUAUAAAAGAAACCAUUAAAGCUGAGCCCCUAGGAAUUGUGUUUCCCCCACUAGAAGGCUUUUAGGGCAAAAUAAAAAUGCCUGGCCUGAAAAGCUGAUGCUGUUCCAGAUACCUUAAAUCCACGCGCUGCAAAAAGUCUCUCUGUACCUCUGAGUGAAGGUGUCUGGCUUGCCUUGGGCAGCUGUCAGGACAGCCACAUCCAGGGAGCCACAGCCUCAGCUGAGAAAUGUCAGGACAGAGGGGCAAGAAGUGAGUCUCAAGGGUGUUUAAACCCGCAUCUGCCACUAACCAGCCUGUGUGGGCUGAGAGAGGCAAGUUGUAUGCUGGGGCCUGAAUUUCCUCAUCUGUAAAAUGGGGAUGAUGCCAUGAGACUCAUCUGUCCCCCCUUUCCGUGAUAGCCAACCGGAUUUUCAUUAAGGCAGUUGUGCCUUACAUAGCCUCCACCCUGGCCUUAGAGGUGGGGCCUGUGGUUUAAUAAAAGGCAACUAAUCCUCUGGCUACAGUGAUUAGUUCAGGGAUGAGCACAUGACCCAUUUUGGCCAAUAAAUGAAGGAGAAGUAUCCUGGAGGUUUCUGGAAAAGAAGCCUCCCACUCUAGUGUCCAGAAGGAAGCCUGCCCUCUCUCUCUCUCUCUCUCUCUCUCUCUCUACACGAUUGAGGGAGGAGGGAUAGAUGGAGCCACAGAAACAGCCACCAUCUGGCAACCACAGGUGACCAUGUUUCCAAAGAGGCCACCCUGGUAGAAGGCAGAACAGAGACCGGGUCUCUCCUGACAUUGCUAAGUCACUGGAUCAAGCCAGCCCUGAAGCCCGCAUUCUCACCCCAGCCACUAAGAUGAAAAACCCUUCGAUUUCUUAGUCUGAACUGGUAUUUUGGGUUGUUCUUGCCCCUUUCCUAGAGACUUGGGGACAGGGAGCAUGGUGCCAGCCAUCUGGAACCUGACGUGGAACAGGUGCUCUGAGGACAGGUAUGGAAUCUUCCCCUUUGUCACCAAGUUUGGAAAAAGGUUCAGAUUUUUAACCUAAAGGCUGAACAACACCACAGCAGACACUUAUUCACCUUCAACAACAACAACAACAAAGGGAUACAGAAAAUACACUGGCAAUUCCUAAAAAAAGUUUAAUAUGUAGUCUUCACGUGACCCAACAAUUCCACUCCUAGGCGUGUACCCACGAGAACUGAAAACACGGGUUCACAUGAAAAACUUGUACACAAGAGUUGGCAGCAGCAUUAUUUAUGAUGGCCAAAAAGUGGAAACAACCCGAUGUCCAUUAACAAAUGAAUGGAUAAACAAAAUAUGGUGAAUCCAUAUAGUGGAAUAUUGUUUGCCAUAAAAAGGAGUCAUUUUCUGAUCCAUGAUACAACACGGACAAACCUUCAACUCGUUACACGAAAUGGAAGAAGCCAGAUACAAAAGCCACACAUUGAAUGAUCCUAUUUCUAUGAAAUGUCCGGAACAGGUAAAUCCAUAGAAACAGAAAGUAGCUUACUGGUUGCCUAGAGCUAGGGGUUGGGGGAGCAGAGAGUGGCUCUUAAGGGAUAUUUCGGAGUGAUACGGAAACGUUCUAGAAUCAGACAAUGGGAUGGCUGCACAACAAUGAGAAUAUACUAAAAAAAAAAAAAAAAAAUCACCAAAUUGCACUCUUUGAAAUGGUGAGUUUUAUGUUAGGAAAAUUAGAUCUCACAUUUUUUAAAAAACUAAAAAGCAAAACAGGGGUGGGAAUGACCCACUCACUGUGCCUUAGAGGGACAGUUUGUAUAAAUAAACAGUAAGGAUGCCUACCGCAGUGUCUGGCUGUUUACCCAAUAAAUGCCUGCCUCACCAGCAGCAGACUGGGAGCUCAUGGCCCACCCCAUCCUCAACACAGCCCCAGGGCAGAUGCUGCAACCUCACUUUGCAAAGGAGGAACAAGACUCUGAGUGAGGAAGGCCUUUGAGCUGGUCCACGGCAAGGCCAAGAUUCGAACCCUGGUCUGUCAAAACCAAAGCCUGCAUUCUCUGCCACGACAACCACAAGCUCUCGUGCUGCAAACACACCCAAGGCCUCCCUUCCGUCUGGGUUUACAGUCAGUUCUCAACUAGGGUCAAAGCUCCCCAGAAGGGGGUGGGACCUACACAUGAGCUUGGAGGUCAGCACCCCAGGGGUGGGGAGGGGACAACUUCUUCCAACAGCUAGGUCUUUUUGUCCCUGUUAUUCCUUGAAAUGUCAAAUGCCUGACUAUAGUCAUUUGGAAGAAAUUGGACUGAAAUACUCUGAACUCAGUUAUCUGACUUUUUCUUGGGGUACAGGGGGCUCUGAAAACAAUACCUGAUGACUGCAAACAGAGGAAAUCACAGAGAAGAACGUAGGCCCUGGAACAUCUUGCUCAGAGCCCAUUUGCGGGCAGCGACCUCCCAUCCAUCCCCAGGCGCCAGCACCGGCUAUACAAUCUGCAAGGCCCGGUGCAAAAUGAAAAUGUGGGGCCUCUUGUUCAAAAGUGAUUCAUCAUUUCAAGGUGGGGGCAGCAGAAGCAAACCCAGCACAGGGCCCUUCUAAGUUCACCCACACCUGUGAGGCUGGCCCCAUCGCACACGCGUGACGCAGAGACAGGGUGCCAUUCCACAUGAUUGGGACUGCACCGUCAAUCCUGUUUCAUAUCACUCUGCCCUUUACGUAAUAUAUUGCAGACAUAUUUCCACGUCGAUGAAACACACACUGACCUUCUCCCUGGUGGCCACAGAGGAGCUUCCCAUCUGGAAACACUGAGAUAGAAGCAUCCUUUGCCUCGUCCUCCUCUCCUAACGUAGGUUCUGUGUCCCAGGCUUGAACAACUAACUUGUUUUUUCAUUAAUUCAUUCAGCAACUGUUUAUUGAGCACCUACUGUGUGCCAGGGGCUGGGGCACAUCGGUGAAUGAGAACACGACCACCCUGGGAGCUGACUGGCGAGGGAGAUCAGCUCAGGGGUGCACAGUGCUGUGUCUGAUGGUGGCAAGGACUAGGAAGAACCUAGGACAGGGUGGCAGGGACAUGACAGUGGGGCACAGUGUACAGGGCAGAGUGAGCCAUGGGAGGUUUUGGGGAGGAAAUGUUCCUGGCAGAGGGAAUGGCACAUGCCAGGUUCAUGAGAAAUACACGGUGUGUGUCAGCACAGUGAAGAGGCCAGUGAGGCUGGAGAAGUGAGCCAGGAACCAGAGAGGUUGAGACUGGAGAUAGUGAGCGAGGAACCGGAGGGGGUGAAGCUGGAGAGAGUGAGCCAGGAAUCAGAGGAGGUGAGGCCAGAGAGAGUGAGCGAGGAACCAGAGGGGGUGAGGCUGGAGAGAGUGACCGAGGAACCAGAGGAGGUGAGGCUGGAGAGAGUGAGCCAGGAACCAGAGGAGGUGAGGCCAGAGUGAGUGAGGAGCUUGAAGGGGUGAGGCUGGAGACAGUGAGCGAGGAACCAGAGGGGGUGAGGCUGGAGAGCGUGAGUGAGGAGCCCGAGGGGGUGAGGCUGGAGAGAGUGAGUGAGGAGCCCAAGGGGGUGAAGCCGAGGUGGGUAUGGGGCUGGGUCACCUGGGGUCUCCCAGCCCAGUGGGGGAUUUGGGCAGGGGGCGACGUGGCCAGGGUUCUGUGGUGGGAGACCCAUUCUGAAUGCCGUGUGGGGAACCAACAAGGCUGGGAGAGAGAGUGGUGGUCCAGAAGCGCGUCCGCUCCUGCCCGCCCCUCCUCCAGGCCCCACCACGCUCAGGGCCGGCCUCCCUGGGAUCCUCACACAUACUACCCUCCUCCUCCAACAAGCUCAACAACUUAGGGGAAGGAUGGUCUCCUGCACCCACUGCUCCUGCACAGAAGCCAGCUUUAACGCUGGCUCCAAAGCUUGUUCACCAGACAGGCCACAGCCAGCAUGGUGGGCCUGCCCACUCCAGCGCAGUGGGCAUCGGGGCUGCCUCGGGCAUGGUGGGAUGUUUAGCAGUACCCUUGGCCUCUUCUCACUAAUGCCAGUAGCACCUCUCCAUGUCAUGACAACCAAAUAUGUCUCCAGACAUUGCUACAUGUCCCCUGGGAGGAAAACCAUCCCUGGUCAAGAGCCAUGGCUGUACAAACACACUCCCUAAACAAGCCAAGAAAGGAAGAUGUGUAAAGGUGAGUCAUCGCAGCCGAGUCUGACCUACAAAACCCAAGAGAGAAUGUAGUGCUUUAUCAAGAAGAGAUUAAUGAACUUAGAAGGUGCAUCAUGAAGCAUCAACCAGUGCCUGAAGAUUC